AUUGAACGCUGGCGGCAGGCCUAACACAUGCAAGUCGAACGAGUGGCGGACGGGUGAGUAAUGUCUGGGAAACUGCCUGAUGGAGGGGGCUAACUACUGGAAACGGUAGCUAAUACCGCAUACCAUCGGAUGUGCCCAGAUGGGAUUAGCUAGUAGGUGGGGUAAAGGCUCACCUAGGCGACGAUCCCUAGCUGGUCGGAGAGGAUGACCAGCCGCACUGGAACUUAGACACGGUCCGGACUCCUACGGGAGGCAGCAGUGGGUAAUAUUGUACAAUGGGCGCAAGCCUGAUGCAGCCAUGCCGUGUGUAUGAGUAAGGCCUGCGGGUUGUAAAGUACGUUCAGCGGGGAGGCGUUACCCGCAGAAGAAGCACCGGCUAACUCCGUGCCAGCAGCCGCGGUAAUAG
This 406-nucleotide ribosomal RNA is filed under the name uncultured bacterium. RNAcentral's name for it is "partial 16S ribosomal RNA". It matches the Rfam family "Bacterial small subunit ribosomal RNA", at positions 30 to 526 of the family's 1533-position model. The record is from RNAcentral.